RNAcentral lists this ribosomal RNA (531 nucleotides) under uncultured organism. RNAcentral's name for it is "bacterial SSU rRNA". It matches the Rfam family "Bacterial small subunit ribosomal RNA", at positions 870 to 1399 of the family's 1533-position model. The record is from RNAcentral.
CGCAUGGGGAGUACGCCCGCAAGGCUAGAACUCAAAGGAAUCGAACGGGGACCCGCACAAGCACUGGAGCGCCUGGUAUAAUUCCGAUGGUCAGCGAAGAACUUCACCUGGGCGUGAACCGUAGCUGCACACCAUGGGAAACCAGGGGAGCCAUUGAGGGUGCUCCAGAGGUGACGCACGGCAGUCGUCAGCUCGUGUCGUGAGAUGCAGGGUUAAGUCCCGUAACGAGCGCAACUCUGAUCUGACGCUCAUAAUUUCUUACAGAGUCUGCCCCGUUUCAGCUGGGAGGAAGGAGGGGAUGACGUCCAGUCAGCAUGUCCUUUAUGUUUCAGGGCUACCAUCAGACUCUACAACUGGCGUAUUACACAUGGCCUCCCAAACCCGCGAGAUGGACCGAAUCCCCUCAAAGAUAGUCUCAGUUCGGAUUGCAGACCUGAUAAUUCGCCUGCAAGAACUCGGAAUUGAUAGUAAGUCGUGUAUCAGCAUGGCCCGGCGAAUACGUUCUCGGCUCCAUGUACACACCACCCGUCA